Manis pentadactyla (Chinese pangolin) is the source of this 1323-nucleotide long non-coding RNA. RefSeq lists it as uncharacterized. NCBI's taxonomy places the organism in Eukaryota, Metazoa, Chordata, Mammalia, Pholidota, Manidae. The transcript is spliced from 4 exons. The record is from RefSeq and is a predicted model, not a curated record.
GGUGCCCCAGGAGCCCUACCUUCCCUCUGCCCAUCGCCUCACUGGGUGGUCAAGGUCCCCUGGGGCCUGUUUCCCAUCAGCCAAAGGGAAACCCCAGCUGCUGCCACACCUCCUUGGGAACAUGGGGAGACUGAGCUGGGUAAACUGUGAAGUGCCAGGACAGGAAGGUGGUUGCACCCUGUGGGAGGCAGGGCUCCUCUCUGAGGUGGUGGCAGAGCAGCUGUGCUCCCGCUGGGCCAGCCACUACCGCGUUUCCCUCGGCCCUCGGCCCGCGGAGGCCAUGCUCAGCUGAUGCUGAAGGUGAGUCAGGCACGGUGGCGACGGGAGUGCAGGGAUGCACGCUCAUGAUAGAGGCCUAGGCAUUGAGUGAGCUGUGGUACUGGCUCAGUGCUUGACCAGGAGGAGACAUGCCCCUCGCAGCUCAUCAGCACCGGCUGCGGGGCGGCAGAAAGGAUUUAGUGAGACCCCAGCACGCGGCAGGGCGGGACUGCUGGCGGAGGGACGGGGUCAGCCCCUGACUCCUCCCAGCCUGAGCUGACCAAAAAUGCAGGCCUCGGCCGGGACCUGUUCCUGGGUGUAAGGGCCUGGCCUGGACAUUGGAGCCCCACCGUCUGCCAGGAGACCUCCCUGGUCCUGGGUCACCCUGCCCAUACCCUCAUCCCUCCUGCUGGCUCCCUGCCUGCCUGCCCAGGAGCUUCCUCCUCUGCCCCCCGAGAGCCACUCCGCCUCCCAGCUCCCACCACACUCGGUCCUGCAGGCCCUGACCCUGACCCUCUGGGCAGAGGUUGUGGCCCAUCUUCAGUUACCAGGAGAAAACAUUCAUGGGUGUUUGGCACGAAAAAUACCAUUGCUGGAUUUUCUGGCUCCUCCAAACAUUCAAGAGACCCUUGUUGAAGCUGGGCUGGAGUGACAUUGCCCUUCUUGUCCAGCCCUGCUACAGUGUCCCGUGGGGCUGGGAGUCUCUGCAGGCCAGGCCCACUUUGGAGCCACCUCUGACCCAGAGUCCAUCCCAAGGCCAGCAUGGAGGAGGCGGUGACACAUGCUUGUUGAGUGAAUAAAUGACUUGAAUUGGGGAAGGGAGUUUCUGAGAAGAUGAGGAACAGGGCAGGGCCAAAGCUGACUCUUAGGUUGUGAUUCUCCCCACACCCUUGCAAGAAGGGUGCAAUUUGACAUUUAUUUAUCUGAAAUAAAAUGACUCUUGAACAUGUGGUCAUAAAAAUUAAAGCAUUACCAGUAAAAUCCACCUUGAUCGGUCCCUUUGAAUCUUGCCUCCUGCUCCCAGUGUGCUAAGUAUUUUGUUUUGGUGUAUAUUUUGCCAGACUU